UACGGAGGGUGCAAGCGUUAAUCGGAAUUACUGGGCGUAAAGCGUGCGUAGGCGGUUGGCAAAGUCAGCUGUGAAAGCCCCGGGCUUAACCUGGGAAUGGCGGUUGAAACUAGUCGACUAGAAUCUGGCAGAGGGGGGUGGAAUUCCACGUGUAGCAGUGAAAUGCGUAGAGAUGUGGAGGAACACCGAUGGCGAAGGCAGCCCCCUGGGCUGAGAUUGACGCUCAGGCACGAAAGCGUGGGGAGCAAACAGG
Molecule: ribosomal RNA, 253 nt
Filed under: uncultured bacterium
Lineage: Bacteria
Description: partial 16S ribosomal RNA
Rfam family: Bacterial small subunit ribosomal RNA
Source: RNAcentral